UUGCGGGGUAGCAAUAGGUAGGCCUACGCAUUACACAGAUGAAGCAAGGUAAUUUUAGAAAGCAUAUUACCAACAUUAAAACUUUAAAAUGGCUAAAACGUGUAUAAAACGAGCAAUUUCAUCAAAUAAGCUAAGCUAUGUAUGUAUUUCUAUACCAAGAAUACCGCCAAUAACCAUGUAAAUGAGUUGCCCUCGUAGGCCUUUUACUAGCCUCCAGGCUAAAACAACAGACAGGGAGAGGGCCUCUCACCGGAGACAACAAAAAUAGGUCCUGGGGAAUUCUUCCCAACAUUUUGACGAAUGCCUAGUGCAGUUCUCCUGUCCAUGGAACCCUUUCAGGUUGGUUUGCGAAACGAAAAUGGCCGUGAUGAAGAUCGGUUGUGGACAGCCCUCUACGACUACGAUGCGGCAGGUGAGGACGAACUAUCAUUGCGUCGGGGAGAACAGGUGGAAGUGCUCUCCAAAGAUGCCAAAAUAUCAGGGGACGAGGGAUGGUGGACAGGAAAAAUUGGCGAAAAGGUUGGGAUUUUUCCCAGCAAUUUCGUGACACAGUGCGUAGGAAAUUCUAAUCGACCAUUUGAAAUAAAGUUUUCUGAAUUAGAACUAGAAGAAGUGAUUGGUGUUGGGGGUUUUGGGAAAGUGUACAGAGGAUUUUGGAAAAGUGAAGAAGUUGCAGUGAAAGCUGCUCGACAAGACCCAGAUGAAGAUAUUAGUGCUACAGCACAGAGUGUGCGACAAGAGGCUAAAAUAUAUUGGCUCCUAAAUCAUCCAAACAUUGUUACAUUGAAAGGUGUUUGUCUUGAGGAGCCCAACUUGUGUUUAGUAAUGGAAUAUUCAAGAGGUGGACCUCUGAAUCGUGUACUUAGUGGACGCACAAUUCCUCCAGAUAUUUUAGUUGGCUGGGCAAUACAAAUAGCACGGGGAAUGAACUACUUACAUUCUGAGGGUCCAAUUUCACUUAUUCAUCGAGAUUUAAAAUCAAGUAAUGUUUUGUUGAGUGAGCCAUUGGAUACUGGUGACCUAAAGCAGAAAACUUUGAAGAUCACAGACUUUGGACUAGCCAGAGAAUUGUAUAAAACCACUCGAAUGUCAGCAGCUGGAACAUAUGCCUGGAUGGCACCAGAAGUCAUAAAGUCCUCAACGUACUCCAAAGCUAGUGAUGUUUGGAGUUAUGGUGUGCUUCUGUGGGAACUAUUAACUGGGGAAACACCUUACAAGGGUUUUGACACAUUUGCUGUUGCCUAUGGUGUUGGUGUUCAAAAACUUACAUUGCCAAUCCCCUCUACCUGUCCUUCUCCCUUUUCAAGAAUAUUGAAAGAAUGCUGGAAUAUUGAUCCUCACAGCCGACCAACAUUUGUCAACCUUCUUACUGACUUAGAAGUCAUAGCUCAAUCUCCAUUCAUGAGCACACCUCAGGAAUCAUUCCACACCUUACAGGAGGAUUGGAAACAUGAGAUUGGAGAGAUGUUUCAUGAGUUGAGGUGCCGUGAUAAGGAAAUAAGGUGUAGAGAAGAAGAACUGAGUAAAGCUAUCAUUCAGCAAAAGAUUCAGGAAGAAAUGUUGAAGAAGAGAGAACAGGAACUCGCCGAGAGGGAGUUCUACGUCUUAGAAAGAGAACUCAGUAUCAUCUUUAUCCAGCAGCAACAGGGAAGACCAACUCCUAAGAAAAGGAAAGGAAAAUUUAAAAAAAGUAGACUCAAACUGUUAAAACAUGGAAGUCAGCAAAUUAGCAUGCCAUCAGACUUUCGGCACAACAUCACUGUACAACCCAGUCCUACAAUGCGAUCAGAUCUGAAGUCUCUGCUUAUGCCCUCUAGUCCAGAAAGUCCUCCAGCCUCACCUAAUCACCCUCGGUUACGAGCUUAUGCAUUGCCAGCUGAUGGUGUUAAGGGUAAAACCUGGGGGCCCAGUACCGUCCACCAAAAAGAGCACGGGUAUUCCAGACAAAGGUUAUUAAUAGAUGAAAAUAAACGUUGGUCAAAGAGUGCUCCAAACCUUGAAAAGUCACAGCGUGGGACUUUUCCAGUAGGAGGAGUUUCUAAUAUUGGAGCACUUCAUGAGAUUGGAGUAGAAGAAGAAUUGCAUGACAAUAUGGGGUCUCCUCGACACUGUGGAUCUUACAAUGGAACAGUAGCUACGGACUCUGGAAGCGUAAAGAGAUGUGGCCGUAAGCUGGUUGACUCUGUGUUAUGCAAUCUUGGUGCCAUGUUGGCUGGAGUUGGUGCUGGAUUUGAUGUCCGCACAGUCAACCAGUCUCAUCUCCACCCUCGAUUGACUCCUUCCAGAGCAGAGGAGAAAGAAGAAGAGCGUCGGUGGUGUUACCGAGAUCCUGAUUCAUCAUAUUGCGUUGGACCUGAAUAUGAUUUCUCUUCUGCUUCUGGCUAUGCUCACAACACUUAUCAUGGGCAAACCCGGCACUAUAGGCCUAGCAUCAGCUUUGAAGUUAGUGGAUCUCCUCUGCGGUUCACAGAUUCUCCUCAGCACAAUCCAAGUAUUGGAUCUGGUGGAUCCCACAACCUUCAUGCUCAAAGCCCACGACGAAAAUCUUCUAGUGCCAGUAAUGACAGUGAGCAUGUUUUUACCAGUUCUAGCUCAGGCAUAGGUCCUUCACCCAUGGGCAUGCCACCUCCUAUGGGAGAAAGGUACUUGGAUUAUAAUCGUCAAGAUAGCUACCCGGCUGUACACAACCAUUACACUGAAUAUGGGUCACAUUACCACUACCACCCAGAAUACAGAGGCCCAGGCUUGGAGUCCAAUUAUUACAUUGAAAGGUUUUAUCAAGAUUAUUCAAGGCCAGAAGUUUAUCAUGUUGAAAGGAUUUAUCCUGAUUUUAUGCGCCAUCAAGAAGGCUAUCAUGCUUAUGAGAACCCCACCUCAUCUGUUCCUUCAGGAAACCCUCCAACUGCAAGCUCAGCCCAACCUUGGACUCCUCAGAGAAUGGUUUACGGACAUCGUCGAACUUCAUCCAAUGUAUCUAAUGCCUCAAAUACAUCAUCAUCAAACAUAAAUCCUUCAUUCCAUAUGGAUGACCAUGAACAUAAUAUACCUCAUCCACCAACACCACCUCCUCCAUCCCACUCUUUGGGUUAUCACUAUCCCUCACAACUUCCCCAGUUAGAUACUCCAAGACGUCAAACCAGUGUGGACUCCUUCCCCGAUCGACCUCUUACUCUAGACAUUCCAGGAAGAUACCGCCCAACUCCUAUUUUUAAAGUCAAAACUAAUGUAGGACGAACCUCACCACAAGGGUGGGCACCUUCUUCCAGUGGAGGUGGGACUCCAACCAACUCUAAUCCCCCUGAUUCCAACACAUGGAUAACAUCUGGGGAGAGUUGCAGUAUCUCCCGUGUUCGUUUUCAAGUGGGAGGCAGUCAUGAAGAACCUACACGAAUUAGUAGAGCAAUAGGAACUUCUGGAAAUGAUAAAACCCUGCUUGACCUGCCAGCAGAAGGUCAAUCUCAGGAUGGAACCAUUCCACUUACUGCCAGAAUGCAACUUUCUAUAUAUAAAAAGCAGAGACUGGCUUUUCAAGAUAGGGAAAAAGAUUUUUUGCCAUAAUGUAAAGUUUCUUAUAUUUCAGAAAGUCAUCACAAUGACACCUGUAGAGUGACCCAAGUUCUAACAUUAGUAUGCUGAAUUAGUGAUAAUACUUAAAAAAACAAUAAUUCAUUCUGUAUUUAAACAUUUUAUCAAGUAUUUACCUAUAACAUUCCAUCACAGGUACUUUUAAUAAAGUUGGCUGCUCACAGGUAACUCUCAUUCAUUAAGGGAUGUGGUAUUCCUCUUUUGCAGGUUGUGAACUACUGAUAGGAUAACUUUCUCUAUGUACAUAUAAGUAAUCUUAAAGCAUAGGCUUAAACUUUCUUCUUACUUAAUCCUUGCAUACAAAUUAAUGAAAUUACUAAAAAGGUCACAAACAAGUUUAACAUUUUCAUAACUUUUCACUUAUCACUAGACAAAAAAAGAAUCUGUAAAACCAUGGCAUUUUAAAAAAAAUCAGGUGCCAAGAAACU
RNAcentral lists this unclassified non-coding RNA (4013 nucleotides) under Limulus polyphemus (Atlantic horseshoe crab). RNAcentral's name for it is "mitogen-activated protein kinase kinase kinase 9- like, transcript variant X2". Lineage: Eukaryota; Metazoa; Arthropoda; Merostomata; Xiphosura; Limulidae. The record is from RNAcentral.